This 831-nucleotide ribosomal RNA is filed under the name Asceua sp. 3 AH-2017. RNAcentral's name for it is "partial 28S ribosomal RNA". It matches the Rfam family "Eukaryotic large subunit ribosomal RNA", at positions 1110 to 1881 of the family's 3401-position model. The record is from RNAcentral. Lineage: Eukaryota; Metazoa; Arthropoda; Arachnida; Araneae; Zodariidae.
GGAUGUGAGUGCCCAGUGGGCCACUUUUGGUAAGCAGAACUGGCGCUGUGGGAUGAACCAAACGCCGGGUUAAGGCGCCCGAUGCGAGACGCUCAUGAGACCCCAUGAAAGGUGUUGGUUGCUCUAGACAACAGGACGGUGGCCAUGGAAGUCGGAAACCGCUAAGGAGUGUGUAACAACUCACCUGCCGAAGCAACUAGCCCUGAAAAUGGAUGGCGCUCCAGCGUCGAGCCCAUACCCGGCCGCCGUCGCAGAUGGCGGCUUCCGCCGCCGAAGGCGACGGUGAGUAGGAGGGUCGCUGCGGGGAGCGUGGAAGGUGCCGGGCGCGAGCCCGCCUGGAGCCCCCGCAGGCGCAGAUCUUGGUGGUAGUAGCAAAUACUCAAGUGAGAACCUUGAGGACUGAAGACGGAGAAGGGUUCCAUGUGAACAGCAGUUGAACAUGGGUCAGUCGGACCUAAGGGAUCGGACAAUUCCGUUCCGAAGCGGGGACAUUACAGUAAUGGUGGCAGUCCCCCGCGCCCGACCGAAAGGGAACGGGGUUAAUAUUCCCCGACCCGGACACGGAGAUCGGCCCUCCGGGGCCAAGUGCGGCAACGCAACCGAACUCGGCGACGGUGACGGAGGACCCGGGGAAGAGUUUUCUUUUCUUCGUAAGAGCCCGUGUCCCUGGAAUCGGCUCGUCCGGAGAUAGGGACGCUGGGUUCGUAAGAGCACCGCGGCUCUUGCGGUGUCCGGUCCGCCUCUGUCGACCCUUGCAAAACCGAGGGAGAGAGUGUGAUUUUCGUGCCGGACCGUACCCAUAUCCGCAGCAGGUCUCCAAGGUGAACAGCC